CCUACGGGAGGCUGCAGUGAGGAAUAUUGGUCAAUGGACGAGAGCCUGAACCAGCCAAGUAGCGUGAAGGAUGACUGCCCUACGGGUUGUAAACUUCUUUUAUAUGGGAAUAAAAUGUUCCACGUGUGGGAUUUUGUAUGUACUUUAUGAAUAAGGAUCGGCUAACUCCGUGCCAGCAGCCGCGGUAAUACGGAGGAUCCGAGCGUUAUCCGGAUUUAUUGGGUUUAAAGGGAGUGUAGAUGGAUUGUUAAGUCAGUUGUGAAAGUUUGCGGCUCAACCGUAAAAUUGCAGUUGAAACUGGCAGUCUUGAGUACAGUAGAGGUAGGCGGAAUUCGUGGUGUAGCGGUGAAAUGCUUAGAUAUCACGAAGAACUCCGAUUGCGAAGGCAGCUCACUGAACUGCAACUGACACUGAGGCUCGAAAGUGUGGGUAUCAAACAGGAUUAGAUACCCUAGUAGUC
RNAcentral lists this ribosomal RNA (460 nucleotides) under uncultured bacterium. Its description in RNAcentral is "partial 16S ribosomal RNA". It matches the Rfam family "Bacterial small subunit ribosomal RNA", at positions 338 to 795 of the family's 1533-position model. The record is from RNAcentral.